UUCACCACCCGAGGAGGGUGGUCAAGCAGAUCAUUAGGGGAGUUUUCUUGUACCCUUUACCUUCAUUCAAUGGGGCAUUGAAUAUUAUAAGUUUGGGGGUAUUGGGGAGUAGUAUAGUAGCAUGUAGUUAGUUUUUGCAUGUUUAGUUAAAACGUUGCAUGGUUAGUUUAACAAUUUAGUUAUUUUUGGUGUUAUUGUUUUAUUGAUAGAAAAUUUUUUGUUUAAGUUAAUUUACAUGUCUCACAAAGUUCUUGUUUUAUGGAAUUUCUUGCCUAGCCAAUGAUGAUAGUGAAUUGUGAAGGAUUCUUGAAUAUAUGGGAUAACAUGAACGUAGUUAUAAUGUUUUACACGAUGGAAUUCAUGUUGCUGUUUAAAUGCUUUCGGUUUGAACGAAUGUGUUCACAAUCACUUGUAGGCAUAAGAGUUAUAUGUUGCAUUGCUUGUUAGAAAAUGUAGUUUUAAAAAGAGAAAUAUGUGGAACAUGCAUGUAGUCUUGACAAACAUUGACAUUCAAACUUUAGGAAAACAUGGGUAUGUUAUGUGUAAAAAAAAUAAAAAAAUAAAAAAAUAAAAAAAUAAUGAAUAACAAUAACGUGGCUAGUCUUAUUUCGGGGCCCUGGCUACUUGAGUAAGUACGCCCGAGGGGAUUGUCUUUACACCUAGUGCCCUAAGGUCUUUCAUGGUCUGGGAGUCGUUGGUUGAAAGCUCGCUAAAGGGUAGUAGUGUUGCCUAAUGGAAUAAGGCAUUGCACAGUCAUGUAUAUAAAAAAAAAGAAAAAGGGAAAAAGAAAAGAAAAUAGCAAUAAACACCACGGGAAAGAGCAAAAAUCGCCCUCGUGAGUAGCAAUAAAGCAAUUAAGCCCAUUGUUGAACUAUAGUUUGUUUAGAUAUGUGAAACAGUUUACGUUGUAUAAGUAUACAUGAUUCUCAAUUUAGGCUAUAAUUUUCUGCUUUGAGCAUGUUAGUAUAUAUAUUCUUUGCUGGAAUCAAGUUUUGGUGAACACUACACACACACAGCAUCUCUAUAGCAUGUAUGAAUUAUCUGAGUGUAUGAUGUUAUGACCAUCGUUUAGUUUGAACUUAUAUUCCUGAAUCUGGAUAAUUCGCUGAGGC
This 1112-nucleotide long non-coding RNA is filed under the name Panax ginseng (ginseng). Its description in RNAcentral is "long non-coding RNA (PGIN_LNC016904)". The record is from RNAcentral. Lineage: Eukaryota; Viridiplantae; Streptophyta; Magnoliopsida; Apiales; Araliaceae.